GAGGGCGUAACUCAAUGGUAGAGUGCCAGCCUUCCAAGCUGGAUGCUGCGGGUUCGAGUCCCGUCGCCCUCU
This 72-nucleotide transfer RNA is filed under the name Phycisphaerales bacterium. RNAcentral's name for it is "tRNA-Gly". It matches the Rfam family "tRNA". From Rfam's summary of the family: Transfer RNA (tRNA) molecules are approximately 80 nucleotides in length. Their secondary structure includes four short double-helical elements and three loops (D, anti-codon, and T loops). Lineage: Bacteria; Pseudomonadati; Planctomycetota; Phycisphaerae; Phycisphaerales. The record is from RNAcentral.